Phoenix dactylifera (date palm) is the source of this 195-nucleotide non-coding RNA. Lineage: Eukaryota; Viridiplantae; Streptophyta; Magnoliopsida; Arecales; Arecaceae. The record is from RefSeq and is a predicted model, not a curated record.
AUAAAGUGAAUCAGUUAAUGCACAUCGCUCAUCACUUUUCAGACCAAGGUAUUCAGAAAAGCUGCAUCCAGCUGUCUCGUAAUUGAGCCUAACUCUCCAGCUACCACCGCCGUUCACCCUCCGCUCCCACUCCACACCCGAAGACGAGAUCCAACUCCACCGCCAAGAGAGAGUCUCCACACUUCAUCCAUCCCA